Molecule: ribosomal RNA, 464 nt
Filed under: uncultured bacterium
Lineage: Bacteria
Description: partial 16S ribosomal RNA
Rfam family: Bacterial small subunit ribosomal RNA
Source: RNAcentral
CUACGGGGCGCUCCAGUAGGGAAUAUUGCGCAAUGGGCGAAAGCCUGACGCAGCAACGCCGCGUGGAUGAUGAAGCUCCUUGGAGUGUAAAAUCCUGUCAGAGGGGAAGAAACGUAAAGUGAGUAACUGCACUUUACCUGACGGUACCCUCAGAGGAAGUCCCGGCUAACUCCGUGCCAGCAGCCGCGGUAAUACGGGGGGGACAAGCGUUGUUCGGAUUCACUGGGCGUAAAGGGCGCGUAGGCGGGCCUUCAAGUCGGGUGUGAAAACUCCGGGCUUAACCCGGAGCCUGCAUUCGAUACUGGUGGUCUUGAGUACAGGAGAGGAAAGUGGAAUUCCAGGUGUAGCGGUGAAAUGCGUAGAUAUCUGGAAGAACACCGGUGGCGAAGGCGGCUUUCUGGACUGAUACUGACGCUAAAGCGCGAAGGCUUGGGGAGCAAACAGGAUUAGAUACCCCCGUAGUC